Molecule: transfer RNA, 60 nt
Filed under: Urocitellus parryii (Arctic ground squirrel)
Lineage: Eukaryota; Metazoa; Chordata; Mammalia; Rodentia; Sciuridae
Also listed under: 2 other names
Description: Spermophilus parryii (Arctic ground squirrel) tRNA
Rfam family: tRNA
About the family: Transfer RNA (tRNA) molecules are approximately 80 nucleotides in length. Their secondary structure includes four short double-helical elements and three loops (D, anti-codon, and T loops).
Source: Rfam by way of RNAcentral
UGUAGCUCAGUGUAGAGCACUUGCCUAACAUGCAUGAGGCCCUGGGUGCAAUCCCCAGUA